CACCCUCUGCAGGCUGGGUGCACAGAAGCAUUCCUGCCAUGGCAGCCACAUCAAGAGUGGAGUUGACUGCCCAAUAGAGUCACAGCCUGAAAUGACGUGGCUUCAGUGUCGCCUUCUCCAAGAAGCUUUCCUUAAAUCUAACGUUGGGCUAAACCAUCCAGUCAGCCUCCUCUGUGCUCACCAUUUGAUGUUGAAAGUAUCCAUCCUGACGGCCAGCUUGUCCCGGGAUAAGACUGCGUCUUACUUGUCUGGCCGCAUACACUUGACCCCCGGACAGAUGCCUGUGGAAGCAGAGGGGCUCUUCUCCUCCGCCCCCUCCUCCUCUGUUCAGGAUUACAGACCUGAGUUGCAGUCAUCAUAAAAGCUUACUUCGAUGUUUGCUACAGAAGGAUGCUCCAAAUAGGUGUAACUAUCUGACAGGAAGAAAGCCUGAAGCCUCGUGUCCCUUCUCCCCAAGAGUGAGCUGUGUUGAUUUAUUCCAGGCAGAUGCUUUUGACAAG
Molecule: long non-coding RNA, 500 nt
Filed under: Equus asinus (donkey)
Lineage: Eukaryota; Metazoa; Chordata; Mammalia; Perissodactyla; Equidae
Description: lncRNA (ENSEASG00005031645.1)
Source: RNAcentral